AGAGUUUGAUCCUGGCUCAGGACGAACGCUGGCGGCGUGCCUAAUACAUGCAAGUCGAGCGGACAGAAGGGAGCUUGCUCCCGGAUGUUAGCGGCGGACGGGUGAGUAACACGUGGGUAACCUGCCUGUAAGACUGGGAUAACUCCGGGAAACCGGAGCUAAUACCGGAUAGUUCCCUGAACCGCAUGGUUCAAGGGUGAAAGACGGUUUCGGCUGUCACUUACAGAUGGACCCGCGGCGCAUUAGCUAGUUGGUGAGGUAACGGCUCACCAAGGCGACGAUGCGUAGCCGACCUGAGAGGGUGAUCGGCCACACUGGGACUGAGACACGGCCCAGACUCCUACGGGAGGCAGCAGUAGGGAAUCUUCCGCAAUGGACGAAAGUCUGACGGAGCAACGCCGCGUGAGUGAUGAAGGUUUUCGGAUCGUAAAGCUCUGUUGUUAGGGAAGAACAAGUGCAAGAGUAACUGCUUGCACCUUGACGGUACCUAACCAGAAAGCCACGGCUAACUACGUGCCAGCAGCCGCGGUAAUACUUAGGUGGCAAGCGUUGUCCGGAAUUAUUGGGGCGUAAAGGGCUCGCAGGC
RNAcentral lists this ribosomal RNA (586 nucleotides) under uncultured bacterium. RNAcentral describes it as "bacterial SSU rRNA". It matches the Rfam family "Bacterial small subunit ribosomal RNA", at positions 8 to 576 of the family's 1533-position model. The record is from RNAcentral.